Molecule: long non-coding RNA, 7275 nt
Filed under: Triticum aestivum (bread wheat)
Lineage: Eukaryota; Viridiplantae; Streptophyta; Magnoliopsida; Poales; Poaceae
Description: long non-coding RNA (TAES_LNC021853)
Source: RNAcentral
UUUUUUUUUGUAAGGUAUUUUAAUAUAAGUUUUGAUCAAUUGCAGUUUUUCUUAAAUAUGUUAAUUUGCGUUAAGAAAAACCAUUUGCUUCCUCUACCAUAAAUUGUGUCUUCUAACGGAUAACCUUUAAUUAUUUUACCUCUUUGUUUUUGAUUUGCACUAGAAAUGGCCACUCGCUCCCUCUCACCAAAUGUGAAUUCUCUCUUCUGCAGAGUAACUUUUUCGUGCUCUGAUUUUUUUACUAUUGUGGCAAUACUAAUUUGCAUUAGGAAUAACCACUUGAAGGGGAGCCUUGGCGCAGUGGUAAAGCUGCUGCCUUGUGACCAUGAGGUCAUGGGUUCAAGUCCUGGAAACAGCCUCUUACAGAAAUGUAGGGAAAGGCUGCGUACUAUAGACCCAAAGUGGUCGGACCCUUCCCUGGACCCUGCGCAAGCGGGAGCUACAUGCACCAGGUUGCCUUUUUUUUAAUAACCACUUGCUUCCCCAUCCACCUGUAAAUCCUCUCUUCUAAAGAAUAACAGUUUCAUCCUCUAAUCACUCAAGAUCAACUGUAUCACACGCUAAGAGUUUAUUACAAUUCUAGCAUAGGACUACUGAAUAGAAGCUCAUUUUUUUUUUACUUUGAUGACCCAAUGGCCGAUCAGGUUUGCAGUUGUUGGCCGGACCUGAACCUGAACUUCCAUGAGUCACAGCGCUAGCAGUCCGGGGGCCUGGGCACAGGCUGCCACCCAGCGCAGAGCUGAAUGACCUCCUUGAGCGCCGGCGACGCCGCCUCCAUCGUCCACCUGUCGUAGUACUCCUCCGGCCUGAAGACGCACUCGGCGCCCGGGCCGUCGACCAGGCACGGCAGCGCACCGUGCAGGAACGCGUCGCCCUCCGACCUGAUCCACCCGGCCGCCGUCUCUUCUCUGUCGGCAGCCUGCAGCAGCAUUCAUCAGUAUCUGUAACCAGGAUGUAUGCAAAUGCUCAGCCUCAUAGCAUCAUCUUGUCUGAAGAUGCAGAGUACCUUCUCCGGCAUGUACUUGAAGACCGUCUUCUUGUGCCCACCUUCGUAUAUGUUACACUGGGACACAAUCUGCAAAUGGAGGCAUCAUUUCAUUAGAAAUUGAUCAUCUCCGAGUGAGUGUUGCCGGUUGCAAGCAUUUGGAACAGCAGAUGCCGGAUGAAAUGGGCCACCUGAGCUUCGACGCCGGCGCAGACGGCGUAUAUGCCCCAGUCCCUGGUGUAGUUGUUGUAUAGGUGGACCUUGCCGAAGCGCAGGCGCGGGUGCCUCUGCCGCGUGCCGUCGAAGAAGCAGUGGUGGAUGGUCACCCUGAUGCACCUGUCGUCGACGUGCGUCGGGUCCGCGCCGAUGAGCAUCGUCUUGUCAUGCCUUGCAAAGUGGCAUCUGUGCAAAACAAUUGACACACAGGCAUAUAGUUAUCAGCACAAUUGUCAAAUGAAAUGAGUCAAGAACUGAAGAUUGCGUGAUGUUGCACACAGAAAUUUAGUUGGAUUGCGUCAUGUUGUACACAGAAAUUUACUCUAGUUGGUGUGAGGAGGAGCAGUAGAAAAGAGGGAAGGACCUGGAGACGGUGAUGUCGGUGCUCUGGCGCGUGAUGUCGAUGAGGCCGUCGUCGUAGUCGGCGAGGGAGCAGCGGUCGAUCCAGAUGUUGGUGGAGCCGGGCUUGAUCUGGAUGCCGUCGACGUCGUGGCCCCGGCCGGCCUCGAACUGGAGGUUGCAGACGAUGACGUGGUGGCAGUCCUUGAGCUGGAGGCCCUUGCCGGUGAGCCUGACUCGCUGCCCCCGCCCGUCGAUGGUCUUGUGGGAGGAGACCCGGAGGUAGGUGUGGAGGUGGAUGUCGCCGGACACCUCGAAGACGAUCCACAGCGGCUCCUUGGCCCGGCACGCCUCCCGCAGCGUCCCGUGCCCGUCGUCUGCGCGCCGAUCGAUCAAUCGGUCAGUUCCUGACAGGGUUCCGGAGCAAGAUUGAAGGCGGGUAAAAAGGGGGACCUUGGAGGGAGGUGACGUGGUAGAGGGCGCCGUGGAGGCCCCCGAUGGCGCGGCGGCCGAAGCCCUCGGCGGCGGCGGCGAGCGCGCGGAGGGUGCGGUCCGCGUCGGCGUAGGGCGUCCGCGGCUGCGGGGGGCGGCGGGCCGCCGUCGUCACCGUCCCAGGCCCCGUCUCGGCGUCCAUGCCGGGGCAGGGGAGGUAGGCUGCGGCGGCGGCGGCGGGAGUCGGAGGAGGACGCGGGGGACGGGGGUCGGAGGAGGGGAAGGAGAUCCAGCAGCAGCAGAGGCGGGAGAAACAGGAGGCACGGGCGCCCAUGAAAUUCGGCCGUGUCGGUGGAAUUCCGCCAAAUGUGGUGAGGAAUCCACACACUCACUCGCUCAGCACUCAAACGUCUCGACCCAAAGUCUUCUUUUCCUCUCUUCUAAUAAAAGAAGAAAAGUCUUGUUUAUCCCUUAUGAAACACGGACGCAGGCACACCUUUAAAGCCCACACACACUCCACACCCUAUGGGCGUGUUUGGUUGCCUGCAUGAGACCCAACCAGGUCCGCGCGGAAAGAAAACGGGCUGUUUGAUUGGCUGCAUAUACUGUUGGGCCUGCAUGGUACGAUGUUUAAAGCAUUCCUAGGCCUGGCUCCCUGAGAACGCUCGAAUCGGCAGUUUCUUCACAGCCAGGCCCGAGCGGUGCACGUGGGCGGCGGCGGCUGCACGCGCAUGGCCACGCUCAAGAAGCUGCGUUGCUUCCCGAAGCGCCGGCAGUUAUUAGCCUCAUCGCCCCUCACCGCCCCCNNNNNNNNNNNNNNNNNNNNNNNNNNNNNNNNNNNNNNNNNNNNNNNNNNNNNNNNNNNNNNNNNNNNNNNNNNNNNNNNNNNNNNNNNNNNNNNNNNNNNNNNNNNNNNNNNNNNNNNNNNNNNNNNNNNNNNNNNNNNNNNNNNNNNNNNNNNNNNNNNNNNNNNNNNNNNNNNNNNNNNNNNNNNNNNNNNNNNNNNNNNNNNNNNNNNNNNNNNNNNNNNNNNNNNNNNNNNNNNNNNNNNNNNNNNNNNNNNNNNNNNNNNNNNNNNNNNNNNNNNNNNNNNNNNNNNNNNNNNNNNNNNNNNNNNNNNNNNNNNNNNNNNNNNNNNNNNNNNNNNNNNNNNNNNNNNNACCGGCGGCAGCGGAUCGGAGGAAAGCAAGAAGACAACCGGACUCCAUCACCGGCGAGCUGAUCAUCACCCGCCCCGCGGCAAAUGGCGGUAAGCACUUUUCUAUUUGUCAUGCACUACUUUUUCGCGUUCGAUCCGGUGGUAGAUUCGAUCCACGACGGAGAGGGGAAUGGGAAAUAGAGGUAGAUAAGCAUGGCAAUUCGUACUAGUUCAUGCAAGAUCGGAAUAGAGGUAGAUGCGGAUGGAGUAGAAGGGGGAUUGGGGGUACACAACAGACACUGGCUAACCACGGCGGCCGUUGAGGCGUGCGGAGCGGCAGGUCGAGUGGUUGGCCUUCAUCUUCUUGUCCAUCGCCGUGCGGGGCGGUGGGUCGUUGUUGUCCUCGCCAGAGUCGAGGUCAAUCUGCCAGGUACGACGGCCUGGCUCCGGCGCCCUCACUAGCACCUGCACCGGUUCUUCCUCCUCCUUAGGCUCCCCACUGAUGAACGUCGGUGGCACGUUUGCCGUCUCGCAGUACACUACGGCAUGGCGGUAAUUAGGAGCCAAGUACUUCUUGUACUUGGACCACCUCUUCCUCUGUUUAGCGGCGUCGGAGACGGCCUGAUUCAUGGCCCAGCGAAUGUUGUCGACUGCCAUCGCGCCAUUCGUUGGGUUAGGAAUCAGCGUCUUCAACUCUUGUGCAGUGGCCCUCAUGAGCACUGCAUCAGAUUCCUUCUGCAUGUCAGGCAUGGAGCCGAAGUUCGAGCACAUCUCCAUGGUGUUCUCGAACUUGAUGCGGUCACCAGCCGACCACCCGAGGAAGAAGGCCCUCCAGCCAAUACCCUAAGGGAAGGGGUUGGCGUUGGAGCUGGAGCUCAUGGCGAUGGAGAGGAGGAAGGUUGAUAUUGAGAGAAGAGAGGGGUGGGUAAGUGGUGGUGGUCAGGGUGAGUAAAUAUAGGCGCGAUGGAGAGGAGGGAGAGUGACAAUCAUGUCGUUUUAACUACACGCUCUUCAAUAAGCCAUGAACUUUGUGUUGUGCUUGACUCCAUGAAUUGUGUGCAAAUCAAGGAGAGCAAUGAGAUGGGCACGGAGGUGCUUCCGACUGUUGGCAAGAAGGGCAAGGAGGCGGUUCAUCCAAUGCCCGAGGUGGUGCUGCCACCCACCGCUGAGGAAGAACCGGAGACACCAACGGUUGGCGACGACGAGCGCAUGAAGGAGCCCCCCAGCAGCAAGCGCCGCAACUACAACCACCACCAUGAGUAGGGUGGCCCAACUCACUUCUGCAAGGUCAUCCUUGCACCGAAGCUUGAGUGCACCCCCUGGACUUCACCAAGCACUUUGUCGCGGUGCCGACGGAGUUCAAUCUGAGGAACAACAUUGGCUGCUCCUGGAGGGUGACGGUGAAGCUGAUGAACGGCAGUGUGACCCUGGAUCAUGGUUGGGCACCGCCGUUCAUCAGAUCAAGAUCGGCUACAUGGUGACGUUCAAACUCCUGACUCCCGACACCCUCAAGGUCAUCAUCUUCGACGACGAUGGCAUUGAGGUGGUCAACAAGUGCAGGAAGCACGACGAAGCCUUCGCCGUUAGGGACUAGGGUCAGGGCACCUCCUUCCUAAGUACUAUCGAGUCUGCUUUAUGGUUUAUGCGUUGAACUGUUUGAACUAUCGUUAUGAUGUGUGGUACUAUGUUAUCUAAACUAUGCUGUUAAGUAGUUGAUGGUCUGUUUAUGCUCUGCUCUGCUUAUGAUGUGUGUUACAUGGUUGUGCAGAAGUGUGCUGGUAACCUCACCAACUAGGCAAAGAGCUUACCACACACCAGACGUUGCAUACAACCAAACACCAUGCCUUGGAUUUGUCCACUAACAUGCAGGCAACCAAACACCAGGCAGUGUGGUUCAGCCCAUGCAGACAAGAGGGCAUGCAGGCAACCAAACAACUUGCAGAUGGUGCAUUUGAGGUUGCAUUUGCAUAGCCAGACUGAGUUGAGAAGGCUAUGCAAUGCAACUAUUGUAGACUACGGCAACCAAACACGCGCUAUAUGAGCACCUCGAGAGAGUGAGCACAAAUAAAUCCAGAAAAUAUGCAAGCAACUAUAUCUACAACUUGAAUCCGAGAAGGUUCCCUAACCAUUUAAGUUAUGCUUAGUUCACAUUUUUCUCUCUCUUUUGAAAGGCAAUGGAGUGCGUCUUUCUUUGCUUUGCCUUUUUGUUUUCUCUUUGCAGACAAGUAAUUCUUCUUUUGCCCCUUUAUUUGUUCUCUUCAAUGUUCGUCUCCUUCACUUACAUCUGUAUUCAAAAAGUAUCGGGUCGAUGAAAGUGUUACUCUGUUCCUGAUCUCAUACGGAGUCAUUGUGAACAGUAGAAUCCCAAACACAACAAGGGGGGAAUAUUUUUGCAAUUGACAUUGCUUAGUGUUUACCUACUUGUGGAUUUCCAUGAGUGAUGAAUGAACCGCACUCGUGCUAGCCUGGAUACAAUUAAAACAAAAUCAGUGCUUCAAAAUGCGGGAAAAUAUCUAGUGCUACCAAGCUUUAGGUGCUACCGGGAUACAACCUUCUGGGCCGUCAGAUUCUUAGAUCUGAUGGCUCUCAAUGACUCUGCAACAUUUGCAAAAAAGCUUACGAGCUGUCAAAAUUUGCGCAUAGGUCUAGCAGAUCUAACAGCUCCCGGAUGCCGUCCGAUCUAAGAAUCCGCUCCCUCAAAAUGCUUUUGGAAAUAACCUUUUUGGAGUAUUGGUUUUAUUUUUUAUACGGAGCUGGCCAAUUGUUUUUUCAUCACGAAAAUUUGCACGUGAGCAACACAUCCAACCAUGUUUGUUCUAAAAAACAUCAGAUAUUAUGAAUUCUUUUACUUUUUUGGAUUUUAUACUAUUUCGUGUAUAUGUGCUCGAGGAACAAAAUACGUUGUCUUUGGAAAUAAAGAGACAUGCCACACCGGACCCCUCUAUCAUUCAACGUAGCUUUCAUUCCUACAGGUCCAGUGUUUGAUGAUCUAACUGUUUCUUCAAGCUGACCCACUGCCAUUUAAUGUUUCAUGAUUCUUUUUAGAGGAAAAGAACAGCAGACCCCGGGAUAUUCAAUUAUGUUUCCGACCUCACAUGCGCCCGGGCGAACAGUAAUGUUUCAGAAUAGCAAAAAAAAAAAGAUGGUUUGCCCGGCAAAAUGUUUGAAUGUUCUGACAGCAUGCAGAAAUUCCAUAAAAAAUUGACACUCAUGGUGCUCUAAAUAAAGAAACAAAAUCAGUGCUUCCAAAAGGUUGAAAAAACAUGUUCAAGAUGCUCUGGACUUGCGGAAGGAUGAAUGAUAGAGGGGUCCCGUAUUCAGUCAUGUUUGGUCCAUUGCUCUGACACAUUGCUAAAUUCAGGCAUGUUUGGUUCGUAUCCACACAUUGCUAAAUUACCGUCACUUCCUUAGCUAUGAAGCAAAUAAAAUCGGUCCCGGUUUUAUUAUAUAUAUGCACAUAUUUUUGCCAAAUCUUGCCACAGUUGCGAUGAUCAGUAUGUUCACCACACUUUCUUUUUUGUCUUGCCACAACUUAGAAAAAUAAAUAUACAUAUAGCUAUGAACCAAACAUAUGUGAGCGCAAAACAUAUGUGAGCACAAGCUAAUCAAUCCCCAAAAUAUCAUCAAAUGUCCCGUUGCAAGAAUAGCUAAUCCGGCCUGGUCACACUCGUGGUAUUUCUGCAGUAAAUUGUCAAUGUAGGCCACUCAUUACAAAGCAUUACCCAGCAGACGGUGGACACAAACUAAGAAACAACAUGCUACAUGAUAUAAUGACAAAGUAGCCAUUUUAUUUAUGUACAGAUCACACAAGAACAACACACGGUUGGAAACUAUAUCAUAUACUCAUAUCAGGCAGUUCAUGUGAGCGCUCUAAGCAGGCACGGCAAAGCUUGGCUCGGUCCAGCUGGUUGGGUCGACCACGAUGCACGGAUCGUCCUUCUUGAACUCAGCCACCUGCACAGUUCAUCAGAGGGAGAAAAAGGAUUACACAUAGAAUUAGAAGCACAAGAAAGCAAGAUAUAGGAGGACAGGGAUAUGAUGCCAAACCAUUUCUCCACAGCUGGGGCAGUAAUGCUGUUUGUGCCAGAGGCAGUCCAUGGAGGGGCACAGGAAGCACACGCCCAGAAAGAACGGCAUCAUGCAAGCCACAACUGAUGCGACACUC